This 789-nucleotide long non-coding RNA is filed under the name Pan troglodytes (chimpanzee). RNAcentral describes it as "long non-coding RNA NONPTRT000377". Lineage: Eukaryota; Metazoa; Chordata; Mammalia; Primates; Hominidae. The record is from RNAcentral.
AUUCAUCUCAAACUAUUAACCACGGUAACCUGAUAUACAUCUUGGUAAAUCUGAGUUAAUGAUGAAUUAUCAUUUGUUUUACUAACAAAGUAUACUUCAUUUGUCUUAUUUUAAGGAUGUCUGGUUUGCCUGGUGAUUAAGCUAGUAGUCCUGUGUCUCUCAUGAACAGUCUCUUUUUAAUUGAUUUACAAUUAAUUGGAUCAUAUUUGUGGAUCACAGAUAUAGUUUAAAUUGAAUCAAUUAUCUAAUCAAAAAUAACAAUUAAAAAAGAAAAGCAGUCAUUAAAAUACAGUAUAUAAACCCUUAAAAAAUAAUGUGUUAAGUAUUUGUUUCUUAGAAGCUAUUUUAAACAAUAAAGAGGAUGCUUUCAAGUAAAUAUCUUAGAAGACCUCAGGGGGAAAAUGUGAAAUUAGUUCUUUGUGAAAAAUAAAUAUCUAAAGAGUAUUCCCUGUAGGGUACAAUGUAAAAGAAUAAACUAGCUACUGGCAAAAAAGGAAGCUGGGGGAGAAAAAAAAUAUAUAGUUAUCAAUAAGCCCAAAAAAGAGUAAAAUGAAAUGAAUAGUUUGUAACAGAGCUAAUGAAACACAUAUACUUGCAGCAUAUUCUGCUAAAUAAAAACUUUAUAUUGCCUCCUACAUUUAAACCUCUCAUAAAACAGUUGUGCAUUUUUCUAAAAUUGCUCACAAAUGAGCAGAUUAAAUGGGCCCUUUGAGAUUAAGAAAAGGUACAUUUUAAAGGCUUGAGGGGAUAAGUAGGAGGAAAAUAAUUGUUACAGUUUUCACAUUAUCC